This 253-nucleotide ribosomal RNA is filed under the name uncultured bacterium. Its description in RNAcentral is "partial 16S ribosomal RNA". It matches the Rfam family "Bacterial small subunit ribosomal RNA", at positions 524 to 776 of the family's 1533-position model. The record is from RNAcentral.
UACAGAGGUCUCAAGCGUUGUUCGGAUUCAUUGGGCGUAAAGGGUGCGUAGGCGGCGCGGUAAGUCGGGUGUGAAAUCUCGGAGCUUAACUCCGAAACUGCAUUUGAUACUGCCGUGCUUGAGGACUGGAGAGGAGACUGGAAUUUACGGUGUAGCGGUGAAAUGCGUAGAUAUCGUAAGGAAGACCAGUGGCGAAGGCGGGUCUCUGGACAGAUCCUGACGCUGAGGCACGAAGGUCAGGGGAGCAAACGGG